AGAACGAACGCUGGCGGCAUGCCUAACACAUGCAAGUCGAACGAGAUCCUUCGGGGUCUAGUGGCGCACGGGUGCGUAACGCGUGGGAAUCUGCCCUUAGGUACGGAAUAACUCAGGGAAACUUGUGCUAAUACCGUAUGAUGUCUUCGGACCAAAGAUUUAUCGCCUAGGGAUGAGCCCGCGUAGGAUUAGCUAGUUGGUGGGGUAAAGGCCUACCAAGGCUACGAUCCUUAGCUGGUCUGAGAGGAUGAUCAGCCACACUGGGACUGAGACACGGCCCAGACUCCUACGGGAGGCAGCAGUGGGGAAUAUUGGACAAUGGGCGAAAGCCUGAUCCAGCAAUGCCGCGUGAGUGAAGAAGGCCUUCGGGUUGUAAAGCUCUUUACCCGGGUAAGAUAAUGACUGUACCGGGAGAAUAAGCCCCGGCUAACUCCGUGCCAGCAGCCGC
This 448-nucleotide ribosomal RNA is filed under the name uncultured bacterium. RNAcentral's name for it is "SSU rRNA". It matches the Rfam family "Bacterial small subunit ribosomal RNA", at positions 26 to 518 of the family's 1533-position model. The record is from RNAcentral.